RNAcentral lists this ribosomal RNA (497 nucleotides) under uncultured bacterium. RNAcentral's name for it is "partial 16S ribosomal RNA". It matches the Rfam family "Bacterial small subunit ribosomal RNA", at positions 28 to 507 of the family's 1533-position model. The record is from RNAcentral.
GAUGAACGCUGGCGGCGUGCCUAAUACAUGCAAGUCGAGCGAACGGACGAGAAGCUUGCUUCUCUGAUGUUAGCGGCGGACGGGUGAGUAACACGUGGAUAACCUACCUAUCAGACUGGGAUAACUUCGGGACACCGGAGCUAAUACCGGAUAAUAUUUUGAACCGCAUGGUUCAAAAGUGAAAGACGGUCUUGCUGUCACUUAUAGAUGGAUCCGCGCUGCAUUAGCUAGUUGGUAAGGUAACGGCUUACCAAGGCAACGAUGCAUAGCCGACCUGUGAGGGUGAUAGGCCACACGGGAGCGGGGACGGGGUCCAGGGUACUACGGGAGGCAGCAGUAGGGAAUCUGCCGCAAUGGGCGAAAGCCUGACGGAGCAACGCCGCGUGAGAGAUGAAGAUCUUCGGAUCGUAAAACUCGGUUAUUAGGGAAGAACAGAUGUGUAAGUAACUGUGCAGAGCGUGACGGUACCGAAUCAGAAAGCCACGGCUAACUACGUG